RNAcentral lists this transfer RNA (427 nucleotides) under Polaribacter sp. Hel1_33_78. RNAcentral describes it as "partial 16S-23S ribosomal RNA intergenic spacer". The stretch from base 79 to 152 matches the Rfam family "tRNA". The record is from RNAcentral. Lineage: Bacteria; Pseudomonadati; Bacteroidota; Flavobacteriia; Flavobacteriales; Flavobacteriaceae.
AGAGAAAGAUGGUGAGUUACAAAAGGGAAGUUUUACUCUUUGCUGUUAAUUUUAAAAAAACAAGAUAUUAAGCUAUUUAGUCUCGUAGCUCAGCUGGUUAGAGCGCUACACUGAUAAUGUAGAGGUCGGCAGUUCGAGUCUGCCCGGGACUACAAUUUUUUAAUAUUUUAGGAAAUUCUGGAAGUUAGAGGAUUCUACAUUCAUAAUUUAGGAUUUAUUCUGAAUUUCAUAAUGGGGGAUUAGCUCAGCUGGCUAGAGCGCUUGCCUUGCACGCAAGAGGUCAUCGGUUCGACUCCGAUAUUCUCCACAAGGGUCAAUUUUAAUUAAGAGGCCACAAGUUCAUUGACAUAUUGGUAAAAUGAUAUCGUAAGAAUCAAAUAGAUAGAGAACAUUUAGAAUAUUUAUAUUCUAGAUAAAAAUUUAUAUA